Molecule: ribosomal RNA, 404 nt
Filed under: uncultured bacterium
Lineage: Bacteria
Description: bacterial SSU rRNA
Rfam family: Bacterial small subunit ribosomal RNA
Source: RNAcentral
UGGGGAAUAUUGGACAAUGGGCGAAAGCCUGAUCCAGCCAUGCCGCGUGAGUGAUGAAGGCCUUAGGGUUGUAAAGCUCUUUCGCCGGGGAAGAUAAUGACGGUACCCGGAAAAGAAGCCUCGGCUAACUCCGUGCCAGCAGCCGCGGUAAGACGGAGGAGGCUAGCGUUAUUCGGAAUUACUGGGCGUAAAGCGUGCGCAGGUUGUGAGAUCAGUUGGAUGUGAAAGCCCGGGGCUUAACCUCGGAUGUGCAUCCAAUACUGUCUCGCUGGAGGUUGGAAGAGGAGAGUGGAAUUCCCAGUGUAGAGGUGAAAUUCGUAGAUAUUGGGAAGAACACCAGUGGCGAAGGCGGCUCUCUGGUCCAUACCUGACACUCAUGCACGAAAGCGUGGGGAGCAAACAGG